RNAcentral lists this ribosomal RNA (253 nucleotides) under uncultured bacterium. RNAcentral's name for it is "partial 16S ribosomal RNA". It matches the Rfam family "Bacterial small subunit ribosomal RNA", at positions 524 to 776 of the family's 1533-position model. The record is from RNAcentral.
UACAGAGGGGGCAAGCGUUGCUCGGAAUUACUGGGCGUAAAGGGCGCGUAGGCGGCCACCUAAGUCAGACGUGAAAUCCCUCGGCUCAACCGGGGAACUGCGUCCGAUACUGGCAGGCUUGAAUUCGGGAGAGGGAUGCGGAAUUCCAGGUGUAGCGGUGAAAUGCGUAGAGAUCGGGAGGAACACCGGUGGCGAAGGCGGUCUUCUGGACGGUGACUGACGCUGAGGCGCGAAAGCGUGGGGAGCAAACGGG